GGGGAGGAGAAAUGGGCGGGAGGCUGUGGAGAUAGCGAGACACCCGGCGACGACGAGGUUGUCAUGGUGCCGCGGGGCCGUGCUCGCGCAUGCGCCACCUGACCCACGGGGGCCGGUCGUGGAGCUGCGACCCCGGCCCUCGGGCAGUCCAGAUGAAAAGAGUACCAAUGAAUCUGCCUCCAGCUGAAUAAACCAUGGAGAGGAAAAACCCAUCCAGAGAGAGCCCCAGAAGACUCUCCGCCAAAGUAGGCAAAGGCACAGAGAUGAAGAAAGUGGCUCGUCAGCUCGGGAUGGCUGCUGCUGAGUCAGACAAGGACUCUGGCUUUUCAGAUGGGAGCUCAGAAUGUCUGAGCUCCGCAGAGCAGAUGGAGUCCGAGGACAUGCUGAGCGCCUUAGGCUGGAGCAGAGAAGACAGGCCGAGGCAGAACUCCAAAACUGCAAAGAAUGCCUUCCCUACCCUGUCUCCCAUGGUCGUCAUGAAGAAUGUGCUGGUCAAACAGGGCAGCAGCUCAUCCCAGCUCCAGUCAUGGACUGUCCAGCCCUCCUUUGAAGUGAUCUCAGCACAGCCACAGCUCUUAUUCCUUCAUCCACCUGUACCAUCUCCUGUCAGUCCAUGCCACACUGGUGAGAAAAAGUCCGACUCCAGGAACUACUUGCCCAUUCUGAAUUCUUACACCAAAAUAGCCCCACAUCCAGGCAAAAGGGGCCUUUCCCUUGGCCCAGAAGAAAAAGGAGCAAGUGGAGUGCAGAAGAAAAUCUGUACUGAGAGACUUGGGCCUAGCUUGUCUUCCAGUGAGCCAACCAAGGUUGGUGCUAUUCCGUCCAGUCCCUCGACGCCAGCACCACCCAGCGCCAAACUUGCCGAGGACUCAGCUCUGCAGGGUGUGCCCUCUCUGGUGGCAGGUGGAAGUCCACAGACUCUUCAGCCAGUAUCCAGCAGUCACGUGGCUAAAGCUCCCAGUCUGACCUUCGCUUCCCCCGCCAGUCCUGUCUGCGCAUCAGACAGCACUCUCCAUGGGUUAGAGAGCAACUCUCCCCUUUCACCACUGUCCGCUAAUUAUAGCUCACCUUUAUGGGCUGCAGAGCACCUCUGCCGCAGCCCAGAUAUCUUUUCAGAGCAGCGGCAGAGCAAACAUAGGCGCUUUCAGAAUACCCUAGUAGUCCUACACAAAUCUGGUUUGCUAGAGAUCACUUUGAAAACCAAGGAGUUGAUUCGUCAGAACCAGGCAACUCAGGUAGAACUAGACCAGCUAAAGGAGCAAACCCAGCUGUUUAUAGAAGCCACCAAGAGCAGGGCCCCCCAGGCUUGGGCCAAGCUGCAGGCAUCUUUAACACCUGGGUCCAGUAAUACAGGCAGUGACCUAGAAGCAUUCUCUGAUCACCCAGACAUAUAGUACAGAGGCAUAUUUUCCUGUUACUUGAGUGGUUCUUUUCGCUCAUUUACUGUUACCUACUCCUGUUUCCCAAAGCUUAUGUAAGAGCUUUUCCUUCUAAACUUAAACUGUGUCGUGGUUCACUUAGGAAGCCACGUGCCAAUACCUGGCUGCUGUCUUAACUUGUGGUCUGGGCACAGUAUACAUAUGUCCCUGUUCCACUGAGGACCUCAGUUUGGGAGUGCCCUUGAGCCCCUUUUCCUUAGCCUGCAGGUGCUUCAGUGGAUCACGGGGCAAAGCAGGAGAUGAUUGUGUGGGGCUCUUCCUGCUGUCACCUCCCAUCAUCCCACCCUCUCACCAGGAUCAAGGGUGCAGUAACACGAAUGAGCAUACAGAGCAACGCCUGUUGAGCCAGGGAGUAGGUGACACAAGGAAACCUUCAUGGAUCUUCCCUUGCCUGUCUUAGUCACAGAGAGAAAUAAGAGGAGGUUGCUUGCAUUCCACAAGGCAUCGUGCUAGUUGGGCAAGACCUAAAAUGCCCUCAGCACAGGUUGCACCUGGGUGCUAGCACUUAAUCACUCAACGCUUUGUUUUCUUAAACUUGAAAGUCAAGGGAAAAGGUAGUACCAUCUGACUCCUAGACUUUCAUUACAAGUCAGAUUUUUCUUAAACUAGCAGGCAAAAAAAAUACUUCCAAAUUUUAAGGUGUGGAAUGGAUGCAGUACCAUCUGGAAUUAUAGUCGAUGAAUUGCUUUAUUGACUUAGAAGCUAAAGAAAAUAGACAUGGCUGGCAUAUCUCAUGGUCAGGAGCUGGACGAUUCUGGUAACUUAGGCUUUUUUUCUCUCUUCUUUUGAAACAGUAUAUCCUGUUUUAUAUCUAAAAAUCUUAAGGAUCGUUUCAGUGGUUCCUGGGGAUGUAGUAUAAGUUAACUCUGUUGCCAUGUUGUUUUUUUUUCUUUUUCUUUUAUUUUGAUAAAAGAAGUGAUUAUUAUGCUUGAUAAACUUUGAAUUAAAUACAGUUGUCUCGAAGGUAUGGUAAGUCUACAAAAAAUUGGAAAGCAUCUUACCCAUUUUCUUUUCACAUCCCAAAUUUUCAUUUGUUCCAUGUCAUAGUGAUGGGAAGCAGUUAUAGAGCAUUGUCUUCUGUGUUUCCUUCAUGUGUUAGAUAUUGGCAACAAAGCCAAAGGUGUAAUGUUGGUUAUAUGAAGUUUAUCUCGAAAUGGAGACCAUGACCAGAGUUUCCAGAUGAUACAUGUUUUUUUCAGCUUCAUUAAAUAGGCAACUAUGUUUCUAAGUAGUAAAGUUUCAAAAUAUUCUCUUAUUUUAAAAUUUCAUCCUCUUGAAAAUCUUUGUUCUUUACAAAAUUAUCUUAAUAAGUUCUAUAUGAUCAGCUUCAUCUUUCUUUUUUUUUUUUUUUCUUUUGAGAUGGAGUUUCACUCUUGUUGCCCAGUCUGGAGUACAAUGGUAGGAUCUCAGCUCACUGCAACGUCCGCCUCCCAGGUUCAAGUGAUUGUCCUGCCACAGCCUCCCAAGUAGCUGGGAUUACAGGUGCCUGCCACCACGCCCAGCUAAUUUUUGUAUUUUUAGUAGAAACAGGGUUUCACAAUGUUGGCCAGGCUGGUCUCGAACUCCUGAUUUCAGUUGAUCUGCCUGCCUCGGCCACCCAAUGUGCUGGGGUUACAGGCCUGAGCCACCACGCCCAGCCCAGCUUCACCCUUUCUGCAAAGAAAAGUUUUACCAAGACCAGAAGUUAAAGAUGACAUUUCGUAGGUAGUUGUAACUCUAACAUAGUUUAAAAAGUAUGUGGCUUCAGAUUGCCUAUACUUUGUUCACAAGCGUGUGAUUUAGAUAUGACUGAUUUAGAAGUGAACAACUUGGUAACAUCCCUAGACUCCCCUCAUCAACGCAGAAUUAUUACCUGCUCUUUACUCUCUGAAAGAAUUUCAGAAAUCAGAGCAAAUGUGUCUUUAGGCAGAUUCAGCUCCUUUUAAUAUUUUUUUCUUGGCCCACUCUCUUUGCCUGCCCUGAAUCUGUGUGGUACUAUAGCAGUUCUACUCUGUGCACCAUGCUAGGAAGCUUCCUUUUUGGCAGAGUACGUUUGGCAGCAAAGCUAUAGAGACAGGUGCAUUCAGAACAGCCUGGGCACCAGUCAUGAGUCUUACUGAGUGUCAAAAAUCAGAAAACACUUGCUGAGAACCAAAUUUAUUCCAUUGGAAAAACCCUCUGUGGAGCUAUAAGCCUCUUGGACUCUUCUUCCUAGAUUAAGGCUUGCAUUUCCCUCCCUGUUUCAGUAAAAGAUGAUGAAAGCCGUUAUCAAUCCUCACUGCUGAGUGGCAGGGAGAAGCAGCACCACCCCCAGCUCUUCUCUAAUCUUGUAACUUAGUGCUAGAAGUCUCUCCAGGCUAUUACCAUGGGUGUUUGUUCCCUAUUGGAGCUGUAAGCAGAUGAACCCAAGUAGAGAAGAUAGAUCUUGGAAGGAGAGAUCCACUGAGGCCAGCAGACAGUUGGGGCCAGAAGCCAGACCAGCAAAUGGAGGAACCUUGGAGGUGACCAGAAAGAUCUCCAUCGGUUGCCCAAGGCUAUCCUUGGAGGAGCCUCCCUCAGGGUCAGGAAUCAAGCGGGGACACGGCUGAGCCACUCAGAAGCACCUUUUCCUGGGGACUGAUCAAGAGGAGGGAAGGUCCUAUAACAGCCCAGGGGCCACGGGGGGCCUGAGCCCCAAACCUCAGCUGCUGUUCCAGCAGCCCCGUAGCUGAGUGGAGCCUCUGGGCCUGACGUGGACCUUCACUGGAGAAGUGACUCAGGUGGGAAAAGUCUCCCCAGACCUCUCCACCUGCAGGAUCGCCUUUCCUUCACCUUCCCCUGCCCGCUUCCUUAGCGCGGGCUCCUCCCAGUGACCACCAGCAGAACUGCAGCCUCCUGCCGUAGCUGACCUAGAGCCCGAGGUAGCUCAGAUGCCAGCUCCUUCCUCCAAGAGACCCUAGAAAUGCCAUUGGCCGCUACUCUGAUGCUUUGGCAGAAGGCAUGCCAUUAAAGUGUACUGUGUUCGAUGUAA
Molecule: non-coding RNA, 4428 nt
Organism: Macaca mulatta (Rhesus monkey)
Lineage: Eukaryota; Metazoa; Chordata; Mammalia; Primates; Cercopithecidae
Source: RefSeq, a predicted model, not a curated record